This is a long non-coding RNA of Herpailurus yagouaroundi (jaguarundi), 268 nucleotides long. RefSeq lists it as uncharacterized. The record is from RefSeq and is a predicted model, not a curated record. Lineage: Eukaryota; Metazoa; Chordata; Mammalia; Carnivora; Felidae. The transcript has 2 exons.
CCUGCCUCUACACGGGGCCUUAACUCUAAGGCAGACCUAGGUACACAUUCUCGAGUACCAGAAAUCAGAAGAUUGCAGCCAACACAGACGUAAGAAGCUUAAAAGGUGACCAAACCGCACUUUUAAAAUACCAAUGUCUAUCUUAAUGUGACUGCCUAACAACACCUACCAAAUGCCUACUCUUGGAUCCUAUCUGCUUUUUCAUUGAAGUGUAUGGUAAAACUAUCACCAUACAAAGGAGGAUUUCAGCCAGUAGACCCUGAUUCUC